UACGAAGGGGGCUAGCGUUGCUCGGAAUUACUGGGCGUAAAGCGCACGUAGGCGGCUUUCUAAGUCGGGGGUGAAAUCCUGGAGCUCAACUCCAGAACUGCCUUUGAUACUGAGGAUCUUGAGUUCGGGAGAGGUGAGUGGAACUGCGAGUGUAGAGGUGAAAUUCGUAGAUAUUCGCAAGAACACCAGUGGCGAAGGCGGCUCACUGGCCCGAUACUGACGCUGAGGCACGAAAGCGUGGGUAGCAAACAGG
RNAcentral lists this ribosomal RNA (253 nucleotides) under uncultured bacterium. RNAcentral describes it as "partial 16S ribosomal RNA". It matches the Rfam family "Bacterial small subunit ribosomal RNA", at positions 524 to 776 of the family's 1533-position model. The record is from RNAcentral.